RNAcentral lists this ribosomal RNA (497 nucleotides) under uncultured bacterium. RNAcentral's name for it is "partial 16S ribosomal RNA". It matches the Rfam family "Bacterial small subunit ribosomal RNA", at positions 28 to 507 of the family's 1533-position model. The record is from RNAcentral.
GAUGAACGCUGGCGGCGUGCCUAAUACAUGCAAGUCGAGCGAACGGACGAGAAGCUUGCUUUUCUGAUGUUAGCGGCGGACGGGUGAGUAACACGUGGAUAACCUACCUAUAAGACUGGGAUAACUUCGGGAAACCGGAGCUAAUACCGGAUAAUAUUUUGAACCGCAUGGUUCAUAAGUGAAAGACGGUCUUGCUGUCACUUAUAGAUGGAUCCGCGCUGCAUUAGCUAGUUGGUAAGGUAACGGCUUACCAAGGCAACGAUGCAUAGCCGACCUGAGAGGGUGAUCGGCCACACUGGAACUGAGACACGGUCCAGACCCCUACGGGAGGCAGCAGUAGGGAAUCUUCCGCAAUGGGCGAAAGCCUGACGGAGCAACGCCGCGUGAGUGAUGAAGGUCUUCGGAUCGUAAAACUCUGUUAUUAGGGAAGAACAUAUGUGUAAGUAACUGUGCACAUCUUGACGGUACCUAAUCAGAAAGCCACGGCUAACUACGUG